Molecule: ribosomal RNA, 252 nt
Filed under: uncultured bacterium
Lineage: Bacteria
Description: partial 16S ribosomal RNA
Rfam family: Bacterial small subunit ribosomal RNA
Source: RNAcentral
UACAGAGGUCCCGAGCGUUGUUCGGAUUCACUGGGCGUAAAGGGUGCGUAGGUGGCUUGGAAAGUUUGAUGUGAAAGCUCAGGGCUUAACCCUGAAAUGGCAUUGAAUACUGCUGAGCUGGAGGUUUGGAGGGGGACUGGAAUUCUUGGUGUAGCAGUGAAAUGCGUAGAUAUCAAGAGGAACACCAGUGGCGAAGGCGAGUCCCUGGACAACACCUGACACUGAGGCACGAAAGCUAGGGGAGCAAACAGG